AGAAUCAACGCUGGCGGCGUGCCUCAGACAUGCAAGUCGAACGCGAAAGUUCCCUUCGGGGGCGAGUAGAGUGGCGCACGGGUGAGUAACACGUAGGUAAUCUACCUUUGGGUGGGGAAUAACUCAGGGAAACUUGAGCUAAUACCGCAUAAUGCAGCGGCUCGACAUCGAGACAGUUGUUAAAGCGGGGGAUCGCAAGACCUCGCGCCUAAAGAGGAGCCUGCGGCGGAUUAGCUAGUUGGUGAGGUAAUGGCUCACCAAGGCAUCGAUCCGUA
This 275-nucleotide ribosomal RNA is filed under the name uncultured bacterium. RNAcentral describes it as "partial small subunit ribosomal RNA". It matches the Rfam family "Bacterial small subunit ribosomal RNA", at positions 26 to 285 of the family's 1533-position model. The record is from RNAcentral.